ACGGCUUCCCCUGAACGCGGAUCCUAGAGGCCAGGCAGAAGCAGCAUGGGUUUCCACUCACACGAUUUAUCUACUGCUCGUGAAAUCUCUGGAUUUAACUGUGAUGAAAGACCGGAGGCUGAAGGAGAACUUCAAUAUCAUAUAUUUUAAAGGUUGACUCACAGUUUGGAACAAGAAUUAAAGAACCACGAACUUCAAGAGCUGCAGAGGAGACGCUUCUACAUCAGGACAUCAGAAGCUGGAACGGGGAUGGCCGGCGAGGGGCCUCUUGUUGGGGUCACAGAGAUGGGUCGCAGAGAUGGCCUGUGUGGAAGGUUGGAUUCUCACCCCACCUCUGCCCCUAGAUGUCCUGGUGACCCUCCCCUCUGUAGUCUUGGUUUUUUGCAAAACACUUAUGACCUCCUGCCAUACUGGGUACUUUGCUUAUGUAUUGUGUUUACUCUUUACUGUGUGUCUCUCCUGCUAAGGUCUACGAAGAAGGGUCUUUGUGGGUGGGGUUCUUAGAGGCAUCCCAAGUACCAGAAGCAGUCCCUGGACUAAGGGGCUCAAGAAAUAUUUUUUAUUUAUUAUUUUUUCUUUUUGAGAUGCAGUCUCUCUCUCUUGCCCAGGCUGGA
Molecule: long non-coding RNA, 614 nt
Filed under: Homo sapiens (human)
Lineage: Eukaryota; Metazoa; Chordata; Mammalia; Primates; Hominidae
Description: HSALNT0317878
Source: RNAcentral